AUUGAACGCUGGCGGCAGGCCUAACACAUGCAAGUCGAGCGAGCGGCGGACGGGUGAGUAAUGCCUGGGAAUUGCCCAGUCGAGGGGGAUAACAGUUGACGACGACUGCUAAUACCGCAUACGAUUUGCAUGCCCUGGUGGGAUUGGCUAGUUGGUGAGGUAAUGGCUCACCGAGGCGACGAUACCUAGCUGGUCUGAGAGGAUGAUCAGCCACACUGGAACUGAGACACGGUCCAGAAUCCUACGGGAGGCAGCAGUGGGGAAUAUUCGACAAUGGGCGAAAGCCUGAUGCAGCCAGGCCGCGUGAGUGAAGAAGGCCUUCGGGUUGUAAAGCACUUUUAGCGAGGAGGCGUUACUUGAAGAGGAAGCAACGGCUAACUCCGUGCCAGCAGCCGCGGUAAUAC
RNAcentral lists this ribosomal RNA (404 nucleotides) under uncultured bacterium. RNAcentral describes it as "partial 16S ribosomal RNA". It matches the Rfam family "Bacterial small subunit ribosomal RNA", at positions 30 to 526 of the family's 1533-position model. The record is from RNAcentral.